CCGAGUUUACAACUCCCAAACCCACUGUGAACCUUACCUAUCGUUGCUUCGGCGGGACCGCCCCGGCGCCGUAUUUCAGGCCCGGACCCAGGCGCCCGCCGGAGGCCCGAAACUCUGCCUUCUAUUGAGUAUUUCUCCUCUGAUUGCAAAGAAAAACAAAUGAAUCA
This 167-nucleotide unclassified non-coding RNA is filed under the name uncultured Myrothecium. Its description in RNAcentral is "sequence contains ITS1". The record is from RNAcentral. Lineage: Eukaryota; Fungi; Ascomycota; Sordariomycetes; Hypocreales.